GGGAGCUGCAAUCUAUAGACUCAGAUCAAGAAAAGCCGUUUAUCUUAUCUUUUCUGCUGAAGCCAAACCGUGGAGAUUUUGUUAAUACAAUGAUAGUGGCAAACUCUGUCUUCUGCAGAUGUACAAGCUCCUCCAAAGUAGAAAACUGGUGGGUGUCGUUUGACUGUUGCAGCGAAAAAGGUGUUAAUCUGUUCUACUAUUGUUCAGACUCUACUGGACACUGAACCACUGAAGUGAACAAGCAGAGAUGGAUUACUGUUGGUUUUGGAAGAAUGAGAGAUAUAAAUCAAAGUCAUCGUCCUCAACCAAUGUCCUUGCAAAACGCAGG
Bombina bombina (fire-bellied toad) is the source of this 328-nucleotide long non-coding RNA. RefSeq lists it as uncharacterized. The transcript has 3 exons. Lineage: Eukaryota; Metazoa; Chordata; Amphibia; Anura; Bombinatoridae. The record is from RefSeq and is a predicted model, not a curated record.